GACGAACGCUGGCGGCGUGCUUAACACAUGCAAGUCGAACGGAAAGGCCCUGCUUUUGUGGGGUGCUCGAGUGGCGAACGGGUGAGUAACACGUGAGUAACCUGCCCUUGACUUUGGGAUAACUUCAGGAAACUGGGGCUAAUACCGGAUAGGAGCUCCUGCUGCAUGGUGGGGGUUGGAAAGUUUCGGCGGUUGGGGAUGGACUCGCGGCUUAUCAGCUUGUUGGUGGGGUAGUGGCUUACCAAGGCUUUGACGGGUAGCCGGCCUGAGAGGGUGACCGGCCACAUGGGGACUGAGAUACGGCCCAGACUCCUACGGGAGGCAGCAGUGGAGAAUAUUGCACAAUGGGCGGAAGCCUGAUGCAGCAACGCCGCGUGCGGGAUGACGGCCUUCGGGUUGUAAACCGCUUUCGCCUGUGACGAAGCGUGAGUGACGGUAAUGGGUAAAGAAGCACCGGCUAACUACGUG
Molecule: ribosomal RNA, 468 nt
Filed under: uncultured bacterium
Lineage: Bacteria
Description: partial 16S ribosomal RNA
Rfam family: Bacterial small subunit ribosomal RNA
Source: RNAcentral